AUUGAACGCUGGCGGCAUGCUUUACACAUGCAAGUCGAACGGCAGCGCGGGCUUCGGCCUGGCGGCGAGUGGCGAACGGGUGAGUAAUACAUCGGAACGUGCCCAGCAGAGGGGGAUAGCUCGGCGAAAGCCGGAUUAAUACCGCAUACGACCUGAGGGUGAAAGCGGGGGAUCUUCGGACCUCGCGCGAUUGGAGCGGCCGAUGGCAGAUUAGCUAGUUGGUGGGGUAAAGGCCUACCAAGGCGACGAUCUGUAGCUGGUCUGAGAGGACGACCAGCCACACUGGAACUGAGACACGGCCCAGACUCCUACGGGAGGCAGCAGUGGGGAAUUUUGGACAAUGGGCGAAAGCCUGAUCCAGCAAUGCCGCGUGUGUGAUGAAGGCCUUCGGGUUGUAAAGCACUUUUGGCGGGAACGAAAAGGACUGUGCCAAUACCACGGUUCGAUGACGGUACCCGCAGAAUAAGCACCGGCUAACUACGUG
Molecule: ribosomal RNA, 484 nt
Filed under: uncultured bacterium
Lineage: Bacteria
Description: partial 16S ribosomal RNA
Rfam family: Bacterial small subunit ribosomal RNA
Source: RNAcentral